Molecule: ribosomal RNA, 406 nt
Filed under: uncultured bacterium
Lineage: Bacteria
Description: partial 16S ribosomal RNA
Rfam family: Bacterial small subunit ribosomal RNA
Source: RNAcentral
AUUGAACGCUGGCGGCAGGCCUAACACAUGCAAGUCGAGCGAGCGGCGGACGGGUGAGUACUGUCUGGGAAACUGCCUGAUGGAGGGGGAUAACUACUGGAACCGGUCGCUAAUCCCGCAUACCAUCGGAUGUUCCCCGAUGGGAUUAGCUAGUAGGUGGGGUAAAGGCUCACCUAGGCGGCGAUCCCUAGCUGGUCUGAGCGGAUGACCAGCCAAACGGGAACUGAGACACGGUCCAGACUCCUACGGGAGGCAGCAGUGGGGAAUAGUGCACAAUGGGCGCAAGCCGGAUGCAGCAAUGCCGCGUGUAUGAAGAAGGCCUUCGGGUUGUAAAGUACUUUCAGCGGGGAGGAGUUACCCGCAGAAGAAGCACCGGCUAACUCCGUGCCAGCAGCCGCGGUAAUUC